RNAcentral lists this long non-coding RNA (552 nucleotides) under Mustela putorius furo (domestic ferret). RNAcentral's name for it is "lncRNA (ENSMPUG00000027075.1)". The record is from RNAcentral. Lineage: Eukaryota; Metazoa; Chordata; Mammalia; Carnivora; Mustelidae.
CGUUCCUCUGCCACUGGUAAGAGUCAUUUUGCAAGCGUCUGCAAAUAUGUGCAUAAAGAAAGAGUGUAGCAGAGCUUCUCACCCUUGGUACUACUGAUGUUUGAGGGCAUGGAUUCUUUGUUAUGGGGAGAGGCUGUCCUGUGCAUGGUGGGAUGUUUAGUAAACAUCCCAGCAGUAGCCACCCCCCAAGGCUGUGACAACCUGAUGUGUCUCAGAACAUUGCCAAGUGUGCCCAGUGGCCAAAAUCACCCAUGGGAAUAUAGGGAAAUGGGAGAUACUGAAAACAAACAAAUAAACAAGAACAAAACAAACAAAAAACAAGGACAAUUGAUGACACUGACUCCCACAAAGCAGCAAAAGAAGAGGUUCUGCAUAGAGAGAUCACAAGUAGGCAGAGAGGCAGACAGAGAGAGAAGGGGAAGCAGACUGCUGAGCGGAGCAGAGAGCGCCAUGCGGGACUCCAUCCCAGGACCCUGAGAUCAUGACCUGAGUCAAAGGCAGCCACUUAACCCAUUGAGCCACCCAGGCACCCCUCAUAAUAAAAUAUUUUUA